This 34-nucleotide ribosomal RNA is filed under the name Tegula rugata. RNAcentral's name for it is "partial 5.8S rRNA". The record is from RNAcentral. Lineage: Eukaryota; Metazoa; Mollusca; Gastropoda; Trochida; Tegulidae.
ACAACUCUAGACGGGGGAUCACUCGGCUCGUGCG